RNAcentral lists this ribosomal RNA (492 nucleotides) under uncultured bacterium. RNAcentral describes it as "partial 16S ribosomal RNA". It matches the Rfam family "Bacterial small subunit ribosomal RNA", at positions 29 to 507 of the family's 1533-position model. The record is from RNAcentral.
AGUGAACGCUGGCGGUAGGCCUAACACAUGCCAGUCGAACGGCAGCACAGUAAGAGCUUGCUCUUACGGGUGGCGAGUGGCGGACGGGUGAGGAAUACAUCGGAAUCUACUUUUUCGUGGGGGAUAACGUAGGGAAACUUACGCUAAUACCGCAUACGACCUGCGGGUGAAAGCAGGGGAUCUUCGGACCUUGCGCGAUUGAAUGAGCCGAUGUCGGAUUAGCUAGUUGGCGGGGUAAAGGCCCACCAAGGCGACGAUCCGUAGCUGGUCUGAGGGGAUGAUCAGCCACACUGGAACUGAGACACGGUCCAGACUCCUACGGGAGGCAGCAGUGGGGAAUAUUGGACAAUGGGCGCAAGCCUGAUCCAGCCAUACCGCGUGGGUGAAGAAGGCCUUCGGGUUGUAAAGCCCUUUUGUUGGGAAAGAAAAGCAGCAGGUUAAUACCCCGCUGUUCUGACGGUACCCAAAGAAUAAGCACCGGCUAACUUCGUG